RNAcentral lists this ribosomal RNA (496 nucleotides) under uncultured bacterium. Its description in RNAcentral is "partial 16S ribosomal RNA". It matches the Rfam family "Bacterial small subunit ribosomal RNA", at positions 28 to 507 of the family's 1533-position model. The record is from RNAcentral.
GAUGAACGCUGGCGGCGUGCCUAAUACAUGCAAGUCGAGCGAAUAGAGGAGGAUCUUUGUCCUUUUACGUUAGGGGGCGACGGGUGGGGAACACGGUGAAAACCCACCUUUAAGACUGGGGAUACUAUGGGAAAACGGAUGCUAUAACCGAAUAUAUAUUAGAGCCCCAUGACACAUAGUUAAAAGGGGCUUUGGCGUCACUUAUAGAUGGAUCCGCGCUGCAUUAGUUAGUUGGUAGGGUAAAGGCUUACCAAGGCAACGAUGCCUAGCCGACUGAGAGGCUGAUCGGCCACAAUGGAACUGAGACACGGUCCAGACUCCUACGGGAGGCAGCAGUAGGGAAUCUUCCGCAAUGGGCGAAAGCCUGACGGAGCAACGCCGCGUGAGUGAUGAAGGUCUUCGGAUCGUAAAACUCUGUUAUUAGGGAAGAACAAAUGUGUAAGUAAAUGAGCACGUCUUGACGGUACCAAAUCAGAAAGCCACGGCUAACUACGUG